GAGGAAUAUUGCUCAAUGGACGAAAGUCUGAAGCAGCAACGCCGCGUGAGGGAUGAAGGUACUCUGCAUUGUAAACCUCUGUAGUCGGGGACAAAAAACGGGUUAUUACCCGUCUGAUGGUACCCGAAAAGUAAGGAUCGGCUAACUACGUGCCAGCAGCCGCGGUAAUACGUAGGAUCCAAGCGUUGUCCGGAUUUACUGGGUGUAAAGGGUGCGCAGGCGGACUUGUUAGUCAGAGGUGAAAUCUCACUGCUCAACAGUGAAACUGCCUCUGAUACUGCAGGUCUUGAAUCCAGAAGAGAGUUGUGGAAUUCCGAGUGUAGCAGUGAAAUGUGUAGAUAUUCGGAAGAACACCAGCGGCGAAGGCAGCAACGUGGUCUGGUAUUGACGCUCAGGCACGAAAGCAUGGGGAUCAAA
RNAcentral lists this ribosomal RNA (417 nucleotides) under uncultured bacterium. RNAcentral describes it as "bacterial SSU rRNA". It matches the Rfam family "Bacterial small subunit ribosomal RNA", at positions 356 to 772 of the family's 1533-position model. The record is from RNAcentral.